Cyprinus carpio carpio is the source of this 1393-nucleotide long non-coding RNA. The record is from Ensembl. NCBI's taxonomy places the organism in Eukaryota, Metazoa, Chordata, Actinopteri, Cypriniformes, Cyprinidae.
AUAUAUAUAUAUAUAUAUAUAUAUAUAUAUAUAUAUAUAUAUAUAUAUAUAUAUAUAUAUAAGCUAAUAUGGCUUGUUGUUGCAGAUACAGGUACAAAGAGUAUGGUGGGAAAAGAGCAAAUAUUUUAGAAGCAGUCCAAACUUGUCACUGUCUUAUGAGAUUGAGGACGCACUACACUGAGGAACUCAUUUUUGAGGCAGCACAGUCAUCUUGGGCUACCUUGACAGUGUCCAUCCCCAGGGUUUGACACGAGAUAUGAGAAGGCCGAGAGAGAGAAUAAACAGGAGACAGCAGAAGAGAGCGAGGCACAGAGAGAAAGCCUGGCUCAAAGAGAGGAAGUGGCACUAAGUGAAUGAUAAACAGAAAGAGCGAGACCAUGUGUGUAGUUUGCUCAUGCACAACUAAUAAAAGUCUUCCUCCCUCCGAUCGCUAUCAGUGCACACACAGAGCCAACUCCACAACAACACUGGCGUAUGUUCCUAAAUCCUUGCAACCAUGCAGUGACAUUAAAAGGAAAAUUAAGCCAAAACUAAAAUUCUGUCAUCAUUUACUCACCUUUAUGUCAUUCCAAAUUUGUACGUCUGUCUUUGAUUUGUGGGAAUGAAGAUAAGAAAUGUGUUUUUGUCCAUAUAAUGGAAGUGAGUGGCCACCAAAACCAACAUUCUUCAAAGUAUCUUGUUUUGUGUUCCACAGAAGAAAUUCAAAUUAUACAGGUUUGGAAUGAUAUUGAGGGUGAGUAAAUGAUGAAAAAAAUUUAAUUUUUAGAUGAACCAUCCCUUUAGGGACGAACUGACUAAAUAGCUCACUUUUGUGUGCAAUGUUUCAGCACAUAAACCCGCAUAUUAUGCACUAACCACCCACAUUUCAGUUGAACAGGAGCUAAAUGCAUUGAAAAAGCGCUGAGAUGUAAAAAAUUAAAUUAAGUCAUUGUAUUAAGUAUGAACACUUCUUUGUAUGUAAAUUAGACUCAUUAUACAUAGCAUCUUAUUCACAAAUCUCAGAACAAUUUGCUUGCUGUUGCACUAUUAGCGUCUGCUAAUAAUAGGGUGGAUUUUAUCAACAACAACAAAAAAAAGAUGUUUGUGUGUAUUUUCUAUUGAUCAUGAUGACAAUAAGUUAUCAAAUGAUGAUAGAGAACUGCAAUAAUCUGAUCUGCAAUAAAUAAGAGUUUGGGUUUCAUUUGGAAUCUGUGACUGGAUUGGACUAAUUCGGAUUGACUGCUUGUGUUCCUUCAAGCCUAAAAUGAGACAUUUGAAGUCAUUUGAUUUCCCUUCUCUAUGAGGUCCUCAUGUAAUAUAUUUAAAAAUGGACUGUAACGAGCACAUGAUUGCAGGAGAUUUCCAUUCCUCCCUCCCCCUCUCCUCACAUUGGAUAUCCGGAGGAAACUGCUGG